This 574-nucleotide ribosomal RNA is filed under the name uncultured haloarchaeon. RNAcentral describes it as "bacterial SSU rRNA". It matches the Rfam family "Archaeal small subunit ribosomal RNA", at positions 340 to 913 of the family's 1478-position model. Lineage: Archaea; Methanobacteriati; Methanobacteriota; Halobacteria; Halobacteriales; Halobacteriaceae. The record is from RNAcentral.
CGCGAAACCUUUACACUGCACGAGAGUGCGAUAAGGGGACUCCCAGUGCGAGGGCAUACAGUCCUCGCUUUUCUGGACCGUAGGGAGGUCCAGGAACAAGUGCUGGGCAAGACCGGUGCCAGCCGCCGCGGUAAUACCGGCAGCACGAGUGAUGGCCGAUAUUAUUGGGCCUAAAGCGUCCGUAGCCGGCCAGACAAGUCCGUUGGGAAAUCCACGUGCUCAACACGUGGGCGUCCAGCGGAAACUGUCUGGCUUGGGGCCGGAGGACCCAAGGGGUACGUCCGGGGUAGGAGUGAAAUCCCGUAAUCCUGGACGGACCGCCGAUGGCGAAAGCACCUUGGGAGGACGGACCCGACGGUGAGGGACGAAAGCCAGGGUCUCGAACCGGAUUAGAUACCCGGGUAGUCCUGGCCGUAAACGAUGUCCGCUAGGUGUGGCGCAGGCUACGAGCCUGCGCUGUGCCGUAGGGAAGCCGUGAAGCGGACCGCCUGGGAAGUACGUCUGCAAAGAUGAAACUUAAAGGAAUUGGCGGGGGAGCACUACAACCGGAGGAGCCUGCGGUUUAAUUGGAAUC